This 636-nucleotide unclassified non-coding RNA is filed under the name Hevea brasiliensis (rubber tree). Lineage: Eukaryota; Viridiplantae; Streptophyta; Magnoliopsida; Malpighiales; Euphorbiaceae. The record is from RNAcentral.
UUCAACAAAUUGAAAAUUGAAAAGGUAAUUUAUUUUCAAAUUUAAGUUUACUUUGUUGCACAUCAUUCAUGUAUGAACUUUUCACUUCUCAGUUUCUUUUCUUACGCAAAGCACUAGACUAAUAAGGGAAUGCACAUCAGGAAGUUUACAAUAUAUCAAAGUUGACAAUGUAUUUCUAUCUUAGAUGAUGUUUGGAUUUUUGUGAUGCAUAAUUCCAUGAUUUUCAUGGUGCUACACUUUUCAGCCCAGCAUUUCAUUUUGGUCAUUAUUAGUGAGCUGGCAUUAUCCUGCCCAGCCAGAUUAUUUGGGUCUAGAAGGAAGACAUAAAUAGGAGAUUUUUGUUGCUUCAGCAUGAUCAAAUUAAGCUUAGAAAUUGGAAGAUGACUUCUUGAUUAUGCUAGUUUGGUUUACACCAGUGAAGUCAAAACAUUGCUAAAUAUCUUUUCCUUGUUGAUACUUCACUUGCUGAUUUUAUUAUAUGGGCAGAAGCUUGCGUGGUAACACUUUGAUUGAGGAUAAGAUCAAGCUGAUGUUUUGUUAAUUAUAUUGUCAGCAUUUUAAUUGGGAAAUAGGGUUAGUGUGUUUUAUUUUUAAUAUUAGGGCUAACAACUAUUUUUUGUUUGACAUUCCUUUUCU